AAAAUUUUAAGUUAAGUCAAACUAAUAAUUUUCAAAAUUAUAAUCAAACCCAUUAGUUUAAAUUUUA
This 67-nucleotide transfer RNA is filed under the name Bemisia tabaci. RNAcentral's name for it is "tRNA-Trp". The record is from RNAcentral. Lineage: Eukaryota; Metazoa; Arthropoda; Insecta; Hemiptera; Aleyrodidae.